Aedes aegypti (yellow fever mosquito) is the source of this 469-nucleotide long non-coding RNA. RefSeq lists it as uncharacterized. The record is from RefSeq and is a predicted model, not a curated record. The transcript is spliced from 2 exons. Lineage: Eukaryota; Metazoa; Arthropoda; Insecta; Diptera; Culicidae.
UCAAUCGCUGUGCACACAUCUAACGUGUUAUUUUUUAGCGUGUUUGUUUAUUGCUCAGUAUGCUUUCAAAAAAAGAAAAAAAAUACCGCAGGGUGCAAAAUAAAUUCAAAUCGUUAAAAAAAAACCUUUUGUGAGGAAAUUUCUGGCCUGAGCUGAUACCAGAUUCGGGGCACUUGGAGCAUGAUGCGGCCUCCAUCAAAGCGAUCAGCCUCCACCAAGCAACGCAUUCGACCUGACUUAAGAAGGUAUCCGGGACCUCGUCCGGGACUGGAAAUGGAAACCGACAAUACUAACUGAAUUUGCUCUCGCAGCCCCUCCCAGCAACAAAUAUCGCGGAAAGCUGGUUUCGUUUGGAAGGAUGUUCCUGUUACAUUUUAUGCCGGAUUUGCUGCUGCAUACCAGCUAGACUGAAUGAUUUCCGGAUCGGCGGAUAGGCGCUUCUUCAACAUCAGAGGACAAAUAAAAGUGG